GCAAUUGACUGGAUAGCUCAGUUGGCUAGACUGUGGCACUGGUAAUGCCAAGGUUACAGGUUCAAUCCCUGUAGGGGACAGCUGCA
Molecule: non-coding RNA, 86 nt
Organism: Podarcis lilfordi (Lilford's wall lizard)
Lineage: Eukaryota; Metazoa; Chordata; Lepidosauria; Squamata; Lacertidae
Source: the annotation of a GenBank genome assembly